Long non-coding RNA from Scylla paramamosain (green mud crab), 808 nucleotides. RefSeq lists it as uncharacterized. The transcript has 2 exons. NCBI's taxonomy places the organism in Eukaryota, Metazoa, Arthropoda, Malacostraca, Decapoda, Portunidae. The record is from RefSeq and is a predicted model, not a curated record.
GGAGCCGCUCUGGGCAGCAAGGCAAAGCGAAUGGCCCAUCAGACCACGCAGUACGCCGCUGACUCACUCGGUUAUCAUCCAUCCGACUUACCGGCCGAUACUCAAGUCUUAAAUUUAUUUCGUGUUUGUGCUGUGAUUGUAACUGCGUCUCAGAGAAGGAAAGGAAACAAGAGGAGGAAGCUCUACACAAGAGGACGGUGUCCACCAUGAAGUCCUUUAUCAAUCCUGGAUAUUUUGUGGAAGUACCGUUGCCCUUUACUCCGUUGCUGCAGGUACCGUUGAAUCGUUACCAUCACUGUUGCUGCAAGUACCGCUGUUUUUAACUACCGUUACCGUUGCUUCAAGUGCUCGCCUACACCUCACUACACCGGAGACAGAGCGUCUAAUUUAAUAAAGUUUAACUGAUACGGAUGCCUUUCCUGUCGGCGUGGCGGAGUGGCGGUGCAGCAGCGGUGAGUUGGUGGCAAGGGGGACAGGGAGGGAUGGCACAGGGCGGGCGGGAAGGACGGAGAAGGGGAGACGAGGAUGAGUUGCACUGUCGGUGGGAGUUGAGGCGAGGCUCGGACGUGAACGGAACUUGGGAUGAGAUUCAAGACAACUAGUAGCCCCGCACUGAGCCAGAGUCAAGUGUCUAGUCAUGAUUAGCAGUUAGGGAAGUACAGAGGAGCACUCAUGCCCUGGUGUGAGAGGUUGUAGCUGAGUGUUCGUGUCUCGCUAGCUCAGGGAAUAAGGGAAUGUAUUCUCAAACGAUACUGAUUCAUAUGUUCACUCAAUUUCAGCAGGUUUUAGUACAAGUUAAUAUAGUUUU